Molecule: small nuclear RNA, 107 nt
Filed under: Microcebus murinus (gray mouse lemur)
Lineage: Eukaryota; Metazoa; Chordata; Mammalia; Primates; Cheirogaleidae
Source: RNAcentral
GUGCUCGCUUUGGCAGCACACUUACUAAAAUUGGAACUGCACAGAGAAGAUUAGCCUGGCUCCUGCAGGAGGAUGACACACAAAUUUAUGGAGUGCUCCACAUUUUC